GACGAACGCUGGCGGCGUGCUUAACACAUGCAAGUCGAACGGAGAGGCCCUGCUUUUGUGGGGUGCUCGAGUGGCGAACGGGUGAGUAACACGUGAUUAACCUGCCCUUGACUUUGGGAUAACUUCAGGAAACUGGGGCUAAUACCGGAUAGGAGCUCCUGCUGCUUUUUUUGGGUUGGAAAGUUUCGGCGGUUGGGGAUGGACUCGCGGCUUUUCAGCUUGUUGGUGGGGUAGUGGCUUACCAAGGCCUUGACGGGUAGCCGCCCUGAGAGGGUGAUGGGCACAUUGGGACUGAGAUAGGGCCCAGACUCCUACGGGAGGCAGGCGUGGGGAAUAAUGCACAAUGGGCGGAAGCCUGAUGCAGCAACGCCGCGUGCGGGAUGACGGCCUUCGGGUUGUAAACCGCUUUCGCCUGUGACGAAGCGUGCGUGACGGUAAUGGGUAAAGAAGCACCGGCUAACUACGUG
This 467-nucleotide ribosomal RNA is filed under the name uncultured bacterium. RNAcentral's name for it is "partial 16S ribosomal RNA". It matches the Rfam family "Bacterial small subunit ribosomal RNA", at positions 28 to 507 of the family's 1533-position model. The record is from RNAcentral.